RNAcentral lists this ribosomal RNA (133 nucleotides) under uncultured bacterium. RNAcentral describes it as "partial 16S ribosomal RNA". The record is from RNAcentral.
CACGUAGUUGGCCGGAGCUUCUUCUGCAGGUACCGUCAUUUUCGUCCCUGCUGAAAGAGGUUUACAACCCGAAAGCCUUCAUCCCUCACGCGGCGUGGCUGCGUCAGGCUUUCGCCCAUCGCGCAAGAUUCCC